CAGAACGUAGUCUAAUUUAGUAGGACAUUUCCCUUACACUGAGAAAGAACCCGUGCAAAUCGAGUUGCUCUGA
This 73-nucleotide transfer RNA is filed under the name Scorpaena brasiliensis (barbfish). Its description in RNAcentral is "tRNA-Val". It matches the Rfam family "tRNA". Rfam says of the family: Transfer RNA (tRNA) molecules are approximately 80 nucleotides in length. Their secondary structure includes four short double-helical elements and three loops (D, anti-codon, and T loops). Further hydrogen bonds mediate the characteristic L-shaped molecular structure. tRNAs have two regions of fundamental functional importance: the anti-codon, which is responsible for specific mRNA codon recognition, and the 3' end, to which the tRNAs corresponding amino acid is attached (by aminoacyl-tRNA synthetases). tRNAs cope with the degeneracy of the genetic code in two manners: having more than one tRNA (with a specific anti-codon) for a particular amino acid; and 'wobble' base-pairing, i.e. permitting non-standard base-pairing at the 3rd anti-codon position. The record is from RNAcentral. Lineage: Eukaryota; Metazoa; Chordata; Actinopteri; Perciformes; Scorpaenidae.